AAACUCGCCUCUUGCAUAACACUAGUAUAAGAGGUCCCGCCUGCCCAGUGACUAUUAGUUCAACGGCCGCGGUAUUUUGACCGUGCAAAGGUAGCGUAAUCACUUGUCUUUUAAAUGAAGACCCGUAUGAAUGGCAUAACGAGGGCUUAACUGUCUCCUUUUCCAAGUCAAUGAAAUUGAUCUCCCCGUGCAGAAGCGGGGAUUAACACAUAAGACGAGAAGACCCUAUGGAGCUUUAGACGUAUGGGUAGAUCAUGUUAAACACCCCUUAAUAAAGGCCUAAACUAAAUGAAACCUGCCCCCAUGUCUUUGGUUGGGGCGACCAUGGGGAAUACAAAACCCCCACGUGGAACGGGAGUACACCCCCUAUUUCUUCCUCUCCCACAAGCCAGAGCGACAGCUCUAGCCAGCAGAAUUUUUGACCAAACUGAUCCGGUAAGCCGAUCAACGAACCGAGUUACCCUAGGGAUAACAGCGCAAUCCCCUUUUAGAGUCCAUAUCGACAAGGGGGUUUACGACCUCGAUGUUGGAUCAGGACAUCCUAAUGGUGCAGCCGCUAUUAAGGGUUCGUUUGUUCAACGAUUAAAGUCCUACGUGAUC
This 600-nucleotide ribosomal RNA is filed under the name Pleuronichthys japonicus. RNAcentral's name for it is "partial 16S ribosomal RNA". It matches the Rfam family "Bacterial large subunit ribosomal RNA", at positions 1811 to 2605 of the family's 2925-position model. Lineage: Eukaryota; Metazoa; Chordata; Actinopteri; Pleuronectiformes; Pleuronectidae. The record is from RNAcentral.